This 34647-nucleotide long non-coding RNA is filed under the name Marmota monax (woodchuck). The record is from RNAcentral. Lineage: Eukaryota; Metazoa; Chordata; Mammalia; Rodentia; Sciuridae.
CUCAGGCAGCCCAAGGGGCGCAGACUCACGAAGGCCAGGAUCUUGUCUCUGGGUGUCGCAGCCUCACGUGGGGAACGUGGUGCUUCAGUGGCGGUGCAACUGGCGGGUGGCGGUGGAAUCGUGAGACCUGGAGAAGCGGAAGGGCACUGGGAGAAGGACGCGGACGCCUGCAGGAAGUCAGGCCUGGAAGGCGCUCACAAAGAGCGGGCUGUCCUCUCAGGUACUGCGCCUGCCUGGGCCCAUGAUGGCAGGCCGAGCGGGCAGCAGCGGGUGGCCAGGGAGGCAGAGAGGCCGCAGCGCCAAGGGGCUGGUGGGCUCCCGCGGGAUGGGACGUGCUUUGGAUGAGUGAUUGGGGUGUCCCCCAGGCGGGUGGCCUCUCCGGGUGGUCCUCUCAUUCAGGAGGCUUGCCUUUCCUUCCUUGUCCCUAGUGGGCUGUUUCAGAGGGUGAAGUGUCAGUCAUCACGCUCGCUGUACAGUUCCUGAGGUGGCUCUCCAGGCCUGUGGCUUCCAGGAAGGGAUGUGCGGCCUUCACACAAGAUUCCCCCCAUGAAAUGUGGUGAGUUUCUUCUCUGGCUGUGAUUUCCAACCUGGAAUCGCCUUCAGGAGCAGAAAAGGGGACAGUUUAUCCAACGUGAUCUUUCCAGUUUGAGGGGCAUUCUUAGGAUGCAUCUCUCCUGUUUUCUCAUACGCAUUCAGAAUUUCAGAUUUUCUCAUUUCCUGAUUCUUAAAAGUAGACAUUGACUCCCUUAUUGCACAUAUCAAGUCAUGGCUUUUUGAAACACUGGGUGGAGUGAUUGUCAUCUCACUAGUGCACCAGGUUCUCAAGUAGUAAACUGACCUUCUUCCAUAUGUAGUCCAAUUUUGUAAGGAGAGGGAAUGAAUUUGAAAGUGGGCUGUGUGGUGAUAAUGAACUCUGACCUGAAUGAAAGAGGAAGGAGGAAAUGCUUAGAUAGUACACACUGCUUCUAUCAUGAAGAAGUGUGAGUGCAGCCACCAGGUAGGUCUAUGUUGUUGGCAGUAUGAAGCAAUAUAUGCCCAUUACUACUUUGGGGUAGCCAAUAGUAUUUAAGUGUAGGUAGUUUUGACUAAUCAUCCUCAUGUACAGGUUUAUAUUUAUUUCUUCAGGCUAGGUUAGAACAAAAACCAGGACCAUAACCUAAUUCUUGAUCAGUGCUUUAGUCCUAUUAUGUAGCAUGAUAUAUAGUACUCAAUUUGUUUUUUUAGUGGUUAUGCUCAUUUUAAGUACUUGAUUAAGGAGUUGUCUGCUAGGCCUUUCAUUUGUGAGUUACUCUUUUCCAUUUUGUGAUUAAUGAAUGACUUGUAGGGUAUUUGGGGACUCUAUAUCUUAGUCAUUAUCGUGCUUUAAAUUUACUCACAUUUAUUUUAAUAUAGACUUCUUGAAACUUAUUUUAUUCAGUGGGCUGUAAUCCAUUAUUUCAUUAUUUAGAUUUUCAAGUUGUGCCAGAUAUGAGUAGUAGGAAAUCUAAGUUGGAUUCUCAAUUUGGGCCAUUGUUUGAACACUUUACUUUCCUGUUUGUUUAUUUUUUAAAGUAUAAAUUGGCAAAUUUUAGUUGUAUAUAUUUAUGAUGUAUGAGGAGAUGUUAUAGUUUAUAUACACAGUGUGAAAUAAGCAUACUAACAUACACAUCAUCUUAAAUACCAGAGUAUUUUUGUGGUGAGAACAUUUGAAAUUUAUUCUUUUAGUAAUUUUGAAAUGUAUAGCAUAUUAUUAUUUAUUUACCAUGGUGUGCAAUAGUUCUCAAAAAACAGAAAAAUCUAUUCCUUCUGUCUGAUUGAGAUAUUGUAUGCUUUGACCAUUUUCUUCCCAUGUCUCCCAUGCCACAGCGUCUGGUAACACCAUUCGACUCUAUGCUUCUUUUAAUUUUAUUAUUUUUCAUUUCACAUGUAAAUGAGAAUAUGUGGUAUUUGCCUUUAUGGAGUACUUUCUUUUGACAGUAGAUAUUUCAGGUUCAAUGUACUCUUUAUUGGCUGUUCAAACUCUGGUAUUAGUUGUUUCUCUAAAAGCCCUGGUUCCUUUUAAUGUGGGCCUAGCACUUAGAAUCCUGAAUCUGAGUUCUAUAUGAGUUCAUUGCUGUUUGAGUGUCACUGCUCUGGCAUAUGUGUGUGUAGGCACACAUGCAUACACUUAUUUGUAUAUCAUUUAUAUUUCAGUGUUUAUUAUUCAUUUGUUCUGAAAUGUUCAUACAAUGAAAUGCAUUUUAAGUCAAAUGUGGUUGACUUUCAAUAAAUCAUUAUAAUCUAAACUGCUUUCAAGAUAAAGAAUGUUAAGCCACACCUGAGAAAGUUCCCUUGUGUCCCUUCUAAUUGAUUUUUUCCUACUGAUUAAAGGCAGGAUUCUGUUUUAUCCUACCAUUGAGUGUUUUACUUUGUCUUUUUAGAAUUUUGUAUAAAUUGAUUCUUCUUAAAAAUUAAUUGUCACUGGAUCCUUAUUUUGUUUAUUUAUAUGCUGUGCUGACAAUCAAACCCAAUGCCUCACACAUACAAGCAAGUAUUCUACCAUUGAGCCUCAACCUAGAAACAUAAUGGGUACUUACACUUUUUUGUUAUUGUUUUUGUUUUUUGUUUGUUUUAGUAAAAAUUGAAGGAGAAGUUUUAUUGUUUUCCUAGCAAUAGAGAAACAAUGGGACUCUUGUUCCAGAGGCUGUUGAUUCUGCCCAUCAGGAGGAAUAGGUUUUUUUUUUUAAAGAUACAAUUCAAAGGCUACAUUCCACCUAUUUUCUGUUCAGGAGUUGUAACUCACUUGUUGAUUUAGGAGAUAUUCAUUUCUGAGAUCUUCUGGUGCCGUCUUCAAGUCUGAAUUACUUAAUUCUUAUUAUGGAUGUGAGUCUUAUUAGGAUGAGUAAGAAAGUUAUGGGAUCUUACACUCUGUGUCUGAAUCAAUAUGCUUUAGAGGUUCAUUCAUGUUGCUUGAAUCAGUGUUUUGUUUUGUUUUCUAUUUUAUUACUGCAGUAGUAUUCAUUUUAUGAAUAUAUCAUAGUGCAUUUAUUUUUUUCCAUUGAAGGAUAUGUGAGCAUUUUCCAGGCUUUGAACUUUAUCUUACUAGAUGUAUUGGGGAAAAAUAUGUAUGUGUAUGUGUAUAUGUGUGUGUAUACACACAUAUAUAUGUAUGUAUGUAUAUUUCACUUAGGUAAAUAACUCAAAGAGUGGAAUGGCUACCACAUAAGGUAAAUCUUUGUUUUCUUUUAAAAGAAACUGUCAAAAAUUCUGAACAUUCUCAUGAGCAAUAUAUGAGAGUUCCAGUUGCUGCAUAUCUUCACAUUGUUUAGUGAUGUAAGUCUUCAUACCUUAGCCAUUUCUGCUGGGUAUAUAGUGGUAUCUCAUUGUGGCUUAGGGUUGUACUUCCAUGUUGACUAAUGAAGUUGACAACAUUUGACUGUCUUUUAUUGGCCAGUCAUUCUUUUUCUGUGAAGAAUAGAUUUGGAUCAUGUCUAUUAUUUGUUGAGUUGUCCUGUUAUUACUGAGUUGUAGAAGUACAUUUAGUAGGACUGGAUAUAGUCCUUUGUCAGAAAAAGGUUCUGUAAUGGGAUUACAGGUAUGACCUACUCAAGUUUUAAACAUAUUUUUUUAAACUGAGCCACUACUGUUUCUAUCAAAUCCAUGUUGCCUGAUCACUUAAUGCUGUAUAGACUUAUGCACAGAAUUAGAUAAUAUUUUGAAAAGGUUUUUUUUUGUGUGUGUGAAGGAUCCUCAAAGUCAGGGGGCAUACCUGUGGUCCCAGCUUAUUGGGAGACUGAAACAGGAGGAUCAUUUGAGUCUCAAAGUUCUGCUGGAUUUGUGUGCAUUAUUUUUUAAGCUUUAUUUAGAAUAAUACUUGUAGGAUAUACUGAGAGGUAAAGGUAGAUAAACAUUUAAAUAAUGAUAUAUGUAUCAUGUCCAUUUUUAUUAGGGUAGAGUGACAUACACCUAUUUUGUAAUAUAAUUUUGUUCAUGAAAGCAUCAUAAAUGGUAUUAUCAAAUAUUAUUGGAGCUUGACAAAAAUGAAAAAUUCAAAUUUUACAAAUCUCUGUAGAUAAAUGUCUUUUAAUUAUUGUGUUUGCUGAGACUGUUUUUUGUAAAACACAAAUACAUAGUGAAAUGUGUAUUUUGAAAUAAAACUCAAUUUGAUAAUGGAAAAGCUUAGAAAGGAGUAUUUAGAUUUGGUUUACCAUGAAAUUAAAAUACUUUUUUUAGUUGAACAACUAGUCUGAAGUUUUUACUCCUUAAGAACAAACAUAUUAGAUGAUUGGAUUCUGUCUCUGAGUAAUGCAAGAAUAAUAAAUAAGCAUCAAAACUCAGAGAAUCGUAAAAUGAAUGAAUUCUGGGCAAUAAAAUUUCUGGAAUCAAUUUGAUCUGAAGUCAGAACUUAUCAACAUUCUAAUUGUCUAGAUUUGUCAUUCUGUUAGAGAUAGCUGAUUCAUAAAGGAAUUCUGGGUCACAGAAUAUAAAUGACAAUCUGUUCUUGCUGCAUCAGCCUUUGCUUAUGCUAUUCAAAUGCACGGAGCAUCAAAUCUGGAUGUUUUAUUAUAAUACAGAAAAGAAAUCUGAAUUCCAAGCAAAGACUUGAGAAUUGAGUGUCUACAAUAAGGUUUAAUUACAGAAAAUUUUAUACUUACCCUGUGUCUGUCCAUCUGUCUCUGUCACAGAUUUCCACUAUGACUCCAAAAACAAGAACAAUGAGGAAAAAGUUUUUGACUGAUUUUAUGUAGGACUUAAAACACCUAGAGAAAGUGUUCAGCUCUGAGCUAGGAAAUUCUCCCCGCCCCCAUAACCUUAGAUGAACAUCACUGUCCUUUGUCAAUAUCUAUCUAUCUAUCUAUUUAUUUACUUAAUUUAUUUUUGGAAGGGGAUUGGGGAUUGAACUCAUUGGCAUAUGACCGCUGAGCCACAUCCUCAGCCCUAUUUUGUAUUUUAUGUAGAAACAGAGUCUUAAUGAGUUGCUUAGGGCCUUGCAGUUGUGGAGGCUAGCUUUGAACUCACAAUCAUCCUGCCUUGGCCUCUUGAGCUGCUAGGAUAACAGGCAAAUGUCAAAACAUUCAGCUGACAAUGUCCUUUGCUCGGUAGUUAGUUAAGAAAAAAUUUCUCAGGAUUUUGUGUCCACAAAAAACAUUCCAAAAAUGUUGAUGUCACACUUCAGGCAUCAUGUUCUGGGUUUAAAAAUGCCCUGCAUGAUACAACUUAGCUUUGAACAUCAAAUGCAGAUUUCACAAUUUUGAAACCAGGCGAUUAAGAAAUAAAGGUGUUGAACAGCAAAAUGCAGCACAUCCUGUUGUCAAAUACACACACACACACACACACACACUCGCACGCGAGCGCGUGCGUGUGUGUGUGUGUGUCUGUCUGCUUACAAUGAAUAGACAGCUGGAGGCCAUCCAUAACCUUGAGCCCCUGAGUCUCCAUUCAUGACCCUGAGUCCCUGAGCCUCCAUUCAUGACCUUGAGCCCCUUACCCUCCAGAGUUUUGCAGAAACAAGAAUGUAGCACACAACACCUCCCCAUAAACACACUAUAUUAUUUACUAGACAGGCCAGCUGAAGUAUGGUGUGCCUUUCUAACAAUGUGUGGUUCUAUUUGCAUAUAUAUGGCAUCUGUAUUAGAGAAUGCUAAGACAGAACCUGAUGAAGCAAAGUUGCUCUUUCUCUUAAAAUAAAACCACAGUCUUGCACCCUUUUCAAAUCACUGGUUUUGUAACAUGCUGAUUUGUUACAUUUGUGAAACCAAGAAUAAGAAUGAUGUAAGAAUGAUGUAAAUUAAAAGCCCACAAAGUAAUGCAUCCAUCUUGCCAGCAACUGUUAAAAGGAUGCAGGUGUGUCACCAAGGAAAAGCAAGCCGUUCCCCAGCCACAGUAUGAAAACUCAGGAACUUACCUUUCCCUGGACCUUUCUUCAAAUCACUCUGCAAGGUGCUUUUUCUCAGAGAGUUAGGGUUUUAACAGCUAACAAAGUAUGAGAAGAUCUCUUCAACUUCAGUACUUCUGGUUCUCCCAGGCCUCUGCAAGACUCAGUCUUCAUCUGGGCAUGGUGGUAUGCAGCUGUCAUCCAAGCAGCUGGGGAGGCUGAGGAAGGAGGAUCACAUGUACAAAAAUAGCCUCAGGAACUUAGCAAGGCUGUAAGCAACUUAGCAAGAUCCUGAAUCAAAAUUAAAAAAGAUUUGGGGAUGUGGCCUAGUGGUAGAGUGUCCCUUGGUUUAAUCUCCAGUAACAAAAGAAGAAAAAGGAAAAAGAGGAGGAUAAGAAGAAGGAGGAGGAGGAGGAGGAGGAAGAGGAGACUCAAUCUUUGGACUCAGACUCAGUUUUUACUGUGUGUAAAUGUUAAUAAUUACAUCAUUUAAAAAUGUUUUUAAAAUGAUAAUAGAUAUACUUACUGAAUGCUCACCAUAGUGCUCUAAACCAGAUACCUUCACUGAGUUUUGCUGAUAUGGCAAUAAUAAACCGACUGACCAUACUAAGAUGUCACCUCUCUUAAUGGGUGUUUUAUUUGGGAGCCUCUGGUCAAUUACUCUCUCACAACACACGUGUAUUAACAACCCCUGCAAAUCCGACUAACUCAGACUCUGUGAACAGUAGCAAACUAUGAGCAGACCCCAAGUAGGCACAGAGACAUUUGUUCAAACUCCACUGCAGGUGUGAACUUACCUGUCUGCCUCACUGCUCAUCAGUUCUCAGGCUAGGGCAGUGGUCACACCCAUGGCACAUGGGGCCUGUCUAGAGGCAUUUUUGAUUGUUAAAAAAAUUAAGAUGUGGUCAUAGCAUAUCUAAUAUGUAGGGAACAGAAUGGCUACACAUCAUAAUUAUGGGCAAGCACCUCACCACAAACAAUCCUAUGGUGUCUAAGGUUAACCAUGCUGGAGCUCAGGAAACCUGGGCUAGAUCACACAUGCUGCACAUGAAAGCACUGGGCCUGUCUAGUUCUUUAUUUUGUCCCCAGUACAUUAACCACAAUGAUCAUCUCCUUACUAGGUGUCUCCUACUGGUGAGGAAGGGAGGAAAAAAAGAAGGGAGAGAAGAAGACACCCAGUAUAUUCUCAGGAGAAACUGAAAGCCUGCAUACAGGAAAAUUGCUAAUUUGGGCCUGGUUGCAGUGCUACAGUCUCUCUGUCAAAGAGUUCUGCAAUCCAUUCCAAAGUUUUCCAGGCCAAGUCCAGUUGUUGAUGUCAAGCCAGAUGUCCCUCCUUGAACAUCAGGGAAGAUUAUUCCUAAGCUAUAAUCCCAAUUGAGAAAGUAGUCUUUCCCCCUCUUCUAUCGCAAGCAUGUGUUGGGGUAGGGGAGGUACUGAAGAUUGCACACAGGAACAUUCCACAGAUGAUAUACACCUGAACAAGAUCCUUAGCCCUUUUUUAAAAUUUUAUUUUGGGACAGGGUCUCAUUAAACGGCACAGGCUGGCCUUGAACUUGCAACCCACCUGCUUCAGUCCCAUGAAUCACUUGGAUUAAAGGCAUAUACCACUGUACCCAGGGCAUACCUUCCUGGAUAUAGUUAAUUCCCAGAGAGUCAGCCAUCUCCCUAGCAUGCUCACCUUAUGCAAAUUAGGCAAUCAAAUUCUCACACCACCAGUCCCCUAUUAGGCACCCAGCCUCACAGGCCUCUUUUUGCCUGCUCCAAGCACAGCAGGUCCAGGUACCAAAGAACCAGGGUUGACCCCUGCCCACUAGAGCCCACUGAAAUGACUAAAAUAUACUAACCCUAACUAAACCUGCUUCUGCUGCCUUGUCGUUUCUUCCUGCACAAAUACAGUAAAGUCUCUUUCCCAUGUUGUCCAUCACCUUCUGCCCUCUCUGCUCCUAACCAACCCUGGCACUUCCCUCAUGGCCCUACAGUGCUGUUCAUAGAAAACUCUAGCUCUCUGUGACAGUCUAUCUAUUUCUGUGAGUCUUCCAUAUCUGAUGAAGACAAACCCAAGGCACUCUUACAAUAAUGCCAAACCUGUAAAGCUUCUCCAUAGGGCCAGGGCAACUGCAUAUAUAGCCUUCAACCCUGAGCCUGGGUCCUGGGGGUGCACCAGAUUCCUGUUAGUCCCUCCCAUUUUAAUGCUGGGUAAUAGUGUCAAUGGUGAGAGCAAAGGAAGGCCACUGAAUUUGUGAAGUAGGAAGUGUGCAAGCACUGUUCCUGUUGCUCACACUCUCUUCUUUCAAAUUGGGCCACAGAAGAGACCCAGGAGCAGACAAAAGCCCACAAAAGAUGGGGAUAGAGCUAGACUUGGACCCAAGAAUAAAAUGUUAGUUCUCUUUCCAGCCACUCAGUUAUUUUCCAAAUGAAUAUUUUAAAGCAUUGAAAAAAUGCAGGCCAUAUGUUCUGGGUAUCCUUACAAUCAAAGUAAACUUUUUUACCAGAAGAAAAUAGACUGUCGCCACUUUAUGUCACCACUCCUCCCAAAUUGUAUUUAGGGCCUGUGACCACAGCUGUGCCACCUCCUGAACUACAGGCUGGGGGAAAUGGUCAGGCUGACCUUCAAGGGGAGGAGGACUUGUAACCUUCCAAAGGAUUUUCCUGCUACAGUACUAUAGUCAUUGCUCUCUCUAAUCAAAGCCCCUAGCUUCAUAUCUGUUCCUGGGCACUGCAGUAAAAUCAGCCUGAGCACAGGAACACUUCAAGGACUGUGAUGGGAGCGGCUCAGAGAAGCCAGCAGGAAAACACAUGCUUGCCCUCUCAUGGUCUCAACAAGAAACUGCAGGUAUCAGCACACCAUAAACCAGGAUCUUCAUAUAAGAAAACUGCAAUCUUUCCAAUUGUGGUCAGAGCACAGUGACAGUGGGUUUUGCUUCCAUCUUGGAAGAGUAGUAAAGUUCAAAAUGUUUAAAAGGUUUUGACUAUCUGGUGUGGGUGUUGUCAUUGAGAGUCUUAAAGGGGUCAUUACAACAGGAUUCCCUGGUUUCCUGAGCACUAGGGAACUGUGGUGCCUACCCCUUUGGAUCUCAAGGUAUUUCCAUCUGCACCGGAACUGGACAGUUUUUGAUGCCAGCAUGUGGUGAGUGUCAGUCAGUGAGGUCAUCUUAAAAAGUUUUUUUUUUUUUUUUUGGUUUUUGUUUUGUUUUGUUUGUUUGUUUUUAGUACAAUGGUGAAAAAAGAUCUUGUUCUUGGAGGAGAGACCAAGUCAGACCAUAAGUACUCAUCCCCAAACAUGAACCUGAAGGGAUCAUCAAAAUUAAGAUUCCUGAGCCACUCUGAGUCUAAUACUAAUACUGUCUGUUUGUGACCUGAGAAUCCACAUUCAUGUCCAGUUCUCUGUUGAAAUUGUUGUUGGUCUGGGUUCCACUCUUUGGGACCCAGUCUCAACCAUAAUAUGACUUAGGCUAUAGUGAAUCUUCCUAAAUGAUAGGGGACAGAUGUGAGUGGUGGGAGCAUGAGUUUCAGGGAAUAAUUCUAUAAAGUGGGCCCACAAUGUUGAACCUCACCAUGCUGUAUUUUCCAAGAAACAAUUUACCUGCAGCCUUGCCCUGCUAAAGUGGACAGGAUAUGUCACACUCCUCAGCAAACUAUUUGUUUUCUGCAGGAGAAAAGCAGGACUGUAAUAAUGUUGAUAAGAGGAACCAAUUUCCAUGCAAGUUAAAAACUGCACAUUGCCUCAAAGAACUCCUCAUCUCAGAAUCUAGCCUGAGGAUUUUCACAUAGUACAUAAUCAAUAAAUUUAUGUGGUUUAUAAAGUCAAGACCUGGACCUCCCUUCUCCUCAGAGCAGUCUCAGAAGGACAAACUAGAAGCUACUGGAUGGACCAGAGAUAGGUGAUGAAAGGUUGGGGGUGAGAAGAGCCUGUCCUUGGCCUGAGAGCUGAGCGGAGCCUAGCUGUAAGCCCUGCUCUCUCCUUCACUAUUUCAUAUAGUGUCACUGUACAGAAGUACAUCUUUCUUGAGGCUGUGACUCACAUCAGCUUAACACAGUGACCCCAGGUGAUUCUUGUGAACCUGGCAGGGAGGAACAGGAGAAUGCUGAGAAAGGGUCCUGCAUCUGAGGGGAUGGGGCACAAGAGUACUCAAUUACUUGUUUUCCUUAAUGUUUUAAUCAUUCAUUUUUUCUUGCAGGGUUAAAGUAGGAGAAAAACUAUUUGAAAAUUUGAAAAGUACAUGUAUUAAGACCACUAAGUUAUUUGUUACAUUGUGAUGGCAAAUAAGACCUGGUUGUGGAAUGAAAUCAUAAAACUGUUCUGGUAAAGAUCCUCUGCCUCUUUUGGUGCCAAUACCAUGCUGUUGUUACUAUUGCUCUGUAGUAUAGUUUAGGGUCUGGUAUAGCGAUGCCACCAGCUUCACUCUUCAUGCUAAAGAUUGCUUUAGCUAUUCUGGGUCUAUCAUUUUUCCAGAUGAAUUUUAUGAUGGCUUUUUCUAUUUCUAUGAGGUAUGCCAUUGGGAUUUUGUUCGGAAUUGCAUUAAAUCUGUAGAGUGAUUUUGGAAAUAUGGUCAUUUUGAUCUUAAUUCUGCCUCUCCAAGAGCAAGGUAGAUCUUUCCAUCUUCUAAGGUCUUCUUUGAUUUCUUUCUUUAGGGUUCUGGAGUUUUUAUUAUAGAGCUCUUUCAACUCAUUGGUUAAGUUGAUUCCCAAGUAUCAUAUUUUUUUGAGAAUAUUAUAAAUGGUGUAGUUUUCCUCAUUUUCUUCUCAGAAGAUUUGUCACUGAUAUACAGAAAUGCCUUUGAUUUAUGGGUGUUGAUUUUAUAUCCUGCUACUUUGCUGAAUUCAUUUACUAGUCCUAGAAGUUUUCUGGUGGAUCUUUUUGGCUCUUCUAGUUAUAGAAUCAUAUUGUUUGCAAAUAGUGCUAAUUUAAGUUCUUCUUUUCCAAUACAUAUCCCUUUAAUUUAUUUUUUCUGUUUAAUUGAUCUGGCCAGUGUUUCAAGGACUAUGUUGAAUAUAAGUGGUGAAAGUGGGCAAUCCUACCCCUUUUCUCUAUAAAUAUAUAUGGAACUGUUUAUAAUUAUGUAUUAUAUACAAUAUGCACAUAUAUGAUACAUACAAUACAUAAACAAAACAUUUUUAUAUACAUGAUUGGUUAUAGGGCUCCCUUUUAAGUACCCAGUGAAGUCCUGGUUUAAUUUAUAACAAAGAAGACACCAGCCAAAACUAAUCUCAACCCUCCCUUACAAAUGAGUCUGAGGCUGGUAUCAGACUUGUGGUCAGAUUUCCAUGUCAUUUUAUAAACACAGAAGAACAUGAGCGAUAGAGGGAUUGGGCAGAGAACUAUUUCAUUGAGGACACAGAGUAAAAGGAGGACAAGAAGAAAUAUAAUUAGUUGUGUCACUUUGCAUCAUCAGAGAACUGGAAUCUGAAAUUCAUACAAGGAGGAUUCAAUCUGUUAUACUUGGGCACAUGGAUGACACGGGGCCUAUAGUGAAAUGGUUAUUACAAGCUUUUGAAAAAAAAAUCAUAUGAGUGGCACAUAAUGGAUAAACAAUCAAUAUGUACACAGUAUCUUCCAAGUGGUUUGUGAGCUGUGGCCCAAAGCACAUACAUGUAUUAGGAGCCUUGAUGAAAUUACCCAUCAGUGCCUUCUACAAUUAUUCACAUUUUAAAGGUGAGAAAACACAGAUAUGUCUGGAUAAUAAAUGGUAAGUCAGCAACACACAGAGAACUACACAGAGACAGAACUCUAUAGAAUCCCUUCAAAGGCUAUUUUGUUCCUGAUAUAAGGAAUGUCUGUCUGGAGAAAUAUUAUUUUCUCCCCAUUUUGAAGACAGUGCCUAGAGAAGACAUCCCAGGAGCAACACAAAUGUUUUUCCUUCUUUAAUGUUAAGGAACUCUUCAAAUAAAAUGCCAGAUCCAUUAUGAGGAUAAACACUUGGAAAUUAUACAGUGCAAAAGAGCAUACCCCAGGCCCAGAUGCUAAGUAUGACUCAGGAAAUAAAUAAAUCAAAAAGGCAUAUAAGUCAUUUAAUAAUUAUGUAACUAUUACUAAAAAUAAAUGUCAUUUUAUUCAAUAAACAAUAAAUUAUGUAUAAAUAUUUCAAGGAUUUGCCAAAUCUUAUCCCAUAUGAUUUUGUAAUAAACUCCAAAAUCAAGAUAAUAGAAUGCAUAAUACAGUGUCAAAAACUUUCAAGGGAAAAAAAAAACAAGCCUUCAAGGAAGAGGAGUGUAUAUUUUAGUGAAUGUCGUUCAACAAUUUAUUUACUAAAUGAUUUUGAGGAAAUAGAUUUAUUUUCCUGCAGCCUUAAGGAAGGGAGAUUUUCCCCUAUUUAUUUUUCCUGUUGGAAUUUCCCAAGAUAAGCCCUAUAAUUCUAUCGGAAAUGACGUAUAAAAUAAAACAGAGAAAAAUACAAUACAUACUGAGGGGAAGCAAAAGAGCAAUUUGUUUUUAUUAAUUAGUAAAAUCAUUUUUUUUUCUUGAAAUGAAACUAUAUUUGCCUUUUUGGGUUUAAUUUUUUAAUCCUUGUAGCCAGGUAUCACAACAGAAAUGCAUGGAAGUUCCUUGAACUUCCAAUUCAUACAGGAGAUAAUCUAAGUGUUCAAUAAUCAUAAAAAUUCAACAUCUUUAGCAUUUAGAGAAAUAUAGAAUGAAAUCCAAUCAUAGACAAAAUUAAAUAGUAUUGAUGAAAAUACUAAACAAAUGAAUACUUGUAAACUCAAGAGCAGUUUAAGUUAUUAUUAUCUAUUUGUGGAAACUGUAUUUCUAUUGAAGAUACAUGACACUCCCCAUCAAUGAGAGUUACUUCUCAAAUCACAGCAUAUGUGACCAUGAAAACAUGAAAGACCACAACAGUACUCUUGCAAACACUUGAAAGAGAUAAAUAAUAAUCUGUGAGGUAAAUGGACACUAGGUUCCAGUCUCAUUUUUGGUUAUAGUAUAUCCAGUUUAAAAAUAGUGUAAAACACUAUGUUUAAGGUUUGUAUAGGUGUAAUAUUCAUGUGGUAAUUCACAUGUACACAAGUUUAGAAAAAAAUAUUUAGGAAUUGUGAGAAAAUAAAAAUUAUGAGAAACACAUAAAAGACUCAAUUACACAUUCUGUAUGUAGAUGAUAAAACUCAUCAUUAUGAAGAUGAGGAUUUUCCCCAAAUUAACCUACAAUAUAUUACCACCAAAAUUGCUUUGUACAUAUAUGAAUAUAUCACAGGCAAUUGUACCUUUAUGUGUAUCUAUAAAGCAGUAAUUCUUUAAAACUAUAAAUAAAUGGAAAAGAGGAAAAGGUAGAAAAAGAGUGAAAGGGGAAUUACUGGUAAUGAAGUGGGGCAAAUUAUAUUCCAUGCUUAUAUGAUUAUGUCAAAAUGAACUCAAAAAUAAUAUGUAACUUAAUGCAAUAAUUUUAAAAAUCAACAUGCUUUUCUUUUAAUAAAAUAAAUAACCAAAGCAUACAUUCUUAAAUUCAUAUAUAUAUAUAUAUAUAUAUAUAUAUAUAUAUAUAUAUAUAUGUAAUUAUACAAGAAAUUUUUCAAUUGUAAGAGCAAAAGAAAUACUUAUCAUCUCCUGAAAUUCAUGUAUAUUAUGAAAUUAUGCUUUUACAAUAAUCAUCGAGGAAUCACUAUAUGAACAAAUCAGUAUAUGAAUCCACAUAUAAGUAAAAAUUACAUACUUAAUUGCAAUUGAAAAGUCUAGAUAAAUCCAAUCUUAACAAGACCAAUCUCAGCAAAUUAGCUAGACCCUAUAUCAAAAUAAAAAUUAAAAGUUCAAGUUGUAUAGCUCAGUGGUAAGUAUCCCUUGGUUCAAUACCUAGUAAUGUUUAAGAAAGUAAAAAUGAAACUAGCUAGCUGAGGAACAAGCAAGGCACUAUAGACCACAGGUCCUCUCCUGAAGGAAAAGGGCAUGUAAAGAUUUGAUUAUUAUAACCAUCCCAUCUGUCUAUAACCAGCAUCUGGCAAGAGCCUAGGUUGCAGGUGUACUCCUGCCAGAUAGUAUUUCAGAAAGGGACUGAGGAUGCCCUGCAAGGUUAAGGAAGGCUGUGAGAAGUCUCUGCCACUCGUAUGUUCCCCACUUGGAUGAGCCAGUAGGAUUGGGGGUGUACUGCCCAGUGGAGUGCUUAGGACUGCAGUCUACAGAGACUGCCCAGAGUCCCCAUUUGCCAGCACCUGUUCCUGCCACAGCCAGGCCCAUCUCCCUUCCCCAGCUUCCAACAGUCUCCCUUCCCCAGCUUCCCUCCUCAGACUCAUGAUGUCAUAGCACACUAACCAUUUCCUUGUGCUCAGGAGCCAGGCCUGCUCCAUAGGGAUCUCCACCACCUGUACAUCAGAGCAACCUGGGACUCCCAAGCAUGAGAGUGAAGCCUGGAGUUGAAUGCAGAAAUGGCAGACUCAAGAGAAAAGGACCAGAUUUCAGAUUCAUGUAUAUUAUGGAAUNAUAAGGCCAGUUUUAAAUGUUGUUGGUUGCAGCUUUUUUUUUGAGGUCUCAGAUUGCACACCAGAGCUUCAAGCUGCUGCUAUUUUGGGGGGUAGGAUACCUGAGAUGGAACUCAAGGGCACUCAACCACUGAGCCAUGUCUCCGGCCCUAUUUUGUAUUUUAUUUAGAGACAGAGUCUCACUGGGUUUCUUGGCAGUUAUCUUUUGCUGAGAGUGGCUUUGAACUCAUGAUUCUUCUGUCCCAGUUUCCCAAGAUGCUGGGAUUAUAGACAUGCAUGAGGUGUGCCUAGUCAGGCUGCUGCUAUUUUAUGGCAAGAUUUCCUUCCAGAAGUUGGAUCUAGCCCAACAAGCAGAACAAACCUUGUAUAAUAAGUAAUUUCAGUUUAUGGAUUAUAUAUGUUGCAUAUUAUUCAUGAAGAAAACUAAUAUAAUGACAAUUAUUACAAAAUUUCACUUAACUUUUGUGCCCUCUCUUCUUCUUAGGGGACAGAUUUCAUGUUGAACUGGGAAGCAACCACCUAAAGCAACAAUAUCCAAUGUAAAACAUGUAAGGCACAGAGUAAUUUAAAUAUUUCUAGUAUUCCAUUAACAAAAUAAAAAGAAACAGUUGAAAGUAGUAUUAAUAACAUAACUAUCCUACCCAGAAUAUUAUCUUUCUGUGACAGAUAAAAUACUACUAAUGAAGUAUGUGUGUUUUGGGAACUACAACCUCGAGUUUGACUUUCUCUGUCAUCUCAGUUCACAGGAACCACAUUCCAGAUUUUAGAGCUAGGGGUCCCUUAACAUCAGGAACUCAAAGGACCUGAUCAUCUCUUUACAUGAUAGAGUUGAGGGACAGAGUUCCCUACUAAUAUUUCUCCUCAUGCCUCAAAAUUAGGAGAAACAAUGUCCUGAUUGUGAGAGGAAGCUCCAAUCAGUAAGUGUCCAAAAGGAGAUUAUUUUUCCCACUUAAUACUGAUUACAAGUUCUUUCCCAUUUCAGACAUCAGGUGGAAAAAAAAAGAUGGGAUUCCAGGAGGUUAGGAACACAUCACCUGCAGUCUUCCACAGCCUUGAUUCUAUUGUUUAAAUACAUGAAAUACAAACUUUUUGGGCAAUUUGAGCUUAGACCAAAUGGCCAGGCUAUAAUAUCUGUUUUCUCCUGUGGACAAAUUCUCACAACUCAUAUGCAGGUGGACUGGGACUAAAGAUGAGCUGUAUCUGACUCCAAAUCCAAAACACCUGCACAAGAUCACAUGACUCUUACAAUAUUCCUUAUGCUUAUCACACCUGGGAAGUAACAAUUAUUUUAAAACGCAGGAAUUGUAGUGUAUGCAUAUAAAAUCCAGCCCUAUAUAUUACAUAGUAUAACACAAAAAGAACAUGCUCAUAUAUCUGUGUCAUCUCAGGGUUUCCAUUUCAGGAUCCAAGGAACCUUGUUUCAGUUUACAUCAAAGGCAAACACCAGCUAGAAUUUAACUCAACACUCCUUUCCCUAUUAAUAUACAGGUUGAUAUUGAAUAUGUGGUAAGUUUAAUCAGGGGUUACUGAUUAUGAAACAGGCUGAUCUAUAGGGAUGUUAAGGACCACCAAGUCCUAUGCUUUUAAAGCAAAGAGGGACAUGGACUAUAGAGGUAUGCAGCACAAGUUUGUUUUAAUUGAGGCCAAGAUAGGACAUAUAAUUAUUGGCAGUACCAUGAAACAUCAGAGAAUUGGAAUGUGGAUUUCAAACAAGGAAGUGUUCACAUAUUAUAUUUGGGUGUGUGGAUGACCUGAGUGCCAACGAUGAAAAUUGUUAAAAGGUUAUAAGCUUCUGAAAGAAAAUUGAGCCAAAAUUUUGUCUCAGUGGUAGAGUGCUUGCCUAGCAUGUACGAGGCACUGAGUUCAAUCACCAACUUCACCCAUGCAGAUGGCAACCUCACCCCAGAGUAGCAAUAAAGGGUAUUUUCUGAGAAUCCUUUGGCUUUGACAGGUCCAUCCAUGCCUCCUGGGCCUCCUUGAGCCCAGGAGGAGGCAAAUCUAUGGUGGAAAGGAGGAAGGAAGGAUAUCUCAGACACAGAUUUUGACCAGAGGAAGCUAUCACACGGCUCUCACUGUCAUGGUCUUUGGCACCUCCAGCUAUAGAGCUUCUGCCUCCUCCUAUACUCUGAUGCCUGCAUCAAGGUCCAGCCAGGCCCAGAGGCCAGUCCAGCAGAAAAGGAGGUACAGAAGAGUUGUGAGCUAUGUCUCAGGAAACCCUUCACUCCAGCAGGACCCAAAUCCAGACUACCAGAGAUACAAGCACAGCUGGCCUGUGACAGGCUGGCCUCACAGGAGGGGAAGGGGAAGGACUGGGAGCUGAGAGGCCAGAGAUGGUAAUGAGGAUUGAUAACCUGGGAACCUUUGCUUCCAUACAGCAUGCACAAGGCAGAUUGCCGUUUAUACAGUCACAUGACUGCUAUACCAGUCCCCUAAAUUGCUGCCCAUCUGCCCUCAAGGUCCUCCUAAUCCAGCCUGAGACUUUGGAUAACACAUGUAGGUACAGAAGGCUUCUUAGCAGCAGAAUUCACACUGUGGAAGGUGAGCUGAUCCCAGGUCCCCAGAAAUGAAGGGAUGAUACAGACACCUGACAUCACCUCUUCACACAGGUGUGUGUGCACAAGGAGGCUGCCAUGACUGCCCUGCCCUCCCUGAAUAUCAGCAUGUGCACUUAUGCAUACCCAUCAAGGUGCCACCAGAUAGCAUGAAUGUGGCCAGCAGGAGAGCCUAUUGGGGUGGUUACAGAGAAUUAGAAAGGCUGAGGGGAAAGCCUCUUUGGCAUGGAGUGACCAAACUGAGCAAGGCCCUCAGCCUCCAGGAAACUCAGUUGACCUCCUUACUUCAUCACUGUCCUCACCCCCUCCCACACAGCCCCUGCUGCCCAUGCCUAACCCAAGAUGGCUGUGCUGGCUGCUAUUGUGGAUGGGGCUGUAAUGCAGCCAUGGGACAAAUUGUAGCCUCUAGGAGAAAGGAGGGGUUGUCCCAGCCUAUACCAGUCCCACUCCCACUGCAGACUCCAAUGCUUGGGGGUCCAACAGAAAGACUAAGAUGCAUAGACAUGGGGUAAUCCAGUGAGUUAUAAGGGGGGUGUGGAGGGGGAGGAGAUAGAAGGAGGAAGAAGGUCCAAAGCUUAUGGAAAGAACCAGUCAGGGGUCUGGGGUUGUGGUUCAGUGGGGCCUAUCACAUGUGGGGCCCUGGGUUUAACCCUCAGAACCACAAAAAUAAAUAAAUAAAAUAAAGUUAUUUUGUCCAAUUACAGCUAAAAUAUAUUUACAAAAAGAACCAGUCAGUAUUUCCUGUUGACUCCCCUUCUCUUGGGAGACGUUUAUUACUUUGUUACCUUUUGCUCUUGCAAUAAACAUGCUGGGUUUUUGUUUAUUUGUUUGUUUAAUUAUUUGUGUCCUGUUCUUCAAUUCUCCGCAGAGGGGAGAAAAUGGACCCUUCAGUAACAGAGGAAGGAGGAUCCUCUGAGCCCGGAUUCUAGGUUCAGACUAAAGAACACAGCAACCACCACUCUACCUAAAGACAAACAAAUGAAUGCAGCCUUUGGAUCCCAUAGGCAAGCAAAGUGGUGGAAGGCCUCUGGAAAAGUGCUUCCAUAUUGGUUAGAGAGAGAAUGGGCAGGUAAAAAAAUGGAGAUUUGGCCUCCUCCCUUUGAAGCCCAGCUCCAGGUGCCCAGGCCUCAGGCUUCUGAGCCACCCCAUCCAACAGCUCUGGAGCAUGCAGUCCACUAUACACGCCCUGCAGGGCGGUUCUCAAGUCUGCAUGGAGUGGGGAAUCCACUGAUGGCCUGCAGGAGGGCAGAAGGACCAGUCCAGCUUUGACUAUACUUGUGGCGCCCAGGGCAGAGGUCGUUCAGAUCACAGCUUCCUCCUUUUUCUCACCCCAUCCUGGCCCUGGGUUUCCAGCACCUAGUGGAUUAUCUGUAGCUUGGAUACUUUGUAGCACUGUGCUGUCAAUCUGGCGUCUCUUCCUUGGUGGGUCUGUUUUGGGCCCACCAGUGGAAGCAGGUGGGGGGGUCUCAAGGCAACAUGGUUGAGUGGCAUUCAGGCGCCAGGGGUGGGGUAAUAGGGACAGGAACUUGGAGCUUCAGAAGGGCAACUGGGUGGGGGUCUCCAGGGGCUUAGAGGUCAGACCUGAAAAGCAGAGAGCAAAACCUUCCAGGAAGUGAACCUAGAGCCUCACCCUGGAGCUGCGUGCCCUGAAAGGUAGGAGAACCAGGCAGAGUUCACUACAGUCUGGAAGCCCAGCAACCCACCUGUCUUCCCAGCACCCCCUUCACCCCAGGCCAGCUUGUAACAAGUAGCUCUUUUCUUUCCUUGCUUAAGGGUCCCAUCUGAACUCCACCUAACCUGUCCUUCCCCACAGAUGAUGGUGCAGUAGGGGAGGAAAAUGGGGUCCUGAGAGGGCUCAGUCCCCCUCCAUGGAAUGUCAGGAGCCUCCUUCAGUAAAAGGGCCAGUGAGAUUCUCACUAUGUGUAAGCAUUUAAUGGAUUGUAUGUAUAUAAUAUCAAUAAGAUCAAAUACAAUGCAUGUUUGUACUCGACCCAGACACAUAUUAUUGAGAUGUUUAUAGAUUGACCAUGUUGGGUAGAUUGGCUUACUUCACGGAGCAUAAUAGUUUCUAGAUUCAUCCGCUUACUGGCAAAAGACAUUAAGUCACGAUUUCAUGAUUAUUUAUAAAUAUAUAUUUUUAGUUGUUGAUAGAACUUUCUGCUUAUUUAUUUAUUUAUAUGUGGUGGUGAACCUAACCCAGUGCCUCACAAGUACUCUACCACUAAGCUACAACCCCAGAGAACACUUGAUUCAGUUUGAUAUUUUUCUGCCUAUAUUAAUAUAUUAUCUUUAAAUAACAUUUUAAUGUAGAACUAUUACUUUUAGACUUUUGCUCCUAGAAAUUCAUUGUUAAUAUCUCUCACACUUACUUGGAAUGCAUAGAACUAUUUAUUUUGUAUUGCAAAGGGUGUUCUGUAAAUAUGAUACUUUAAGUGUUUCAUCAGAAAUUAUUAGUUAAUCAUCUGUUCAUUGCAAACAUGACAGUAAAAUCAUAUUGGGACAAAAAUUAUAAGUAGAUAAUUAAAGUUAACAUUGUACAGCUAUGCAAUGCUAUUUAAAUUCAUAUAAAACAUUGAAUUCAGAAAUUGUUGGUUCUGGAGAUGGAAACCAAGACCUCACACAUGUUGUGCAGGUGUUCUACUAUGAGCUAUAAACCAACCUGCUCUAUUCAAAUUAUUAAUCUAUUAGAAUGGUUAACCCACUGAUGGAAGUCAGGGCCCUUGUAAUCCAGACUUUUCACCUCUUAAAACUUCAGCACUGCCACCUGAGCUUUGGGGGACAUUCCAGACCAAAACCAUGACAUUUAUGAAAACAAAACUAAAGUAAAUGGGGAAAUCUUUAGAACAUAUGGUUAAGCAAAACAUUCCCAGAUUUGACAAUGAAAUAAAACCUAGAAAAGUGAAGAUGAAUAAAUUAAUAAACUUCUGUUCAGUGGAAUCCCUGAUUCAGUGGAUAAAAAUAUAAGUUAAAGACUCAAUGAACAUGCAAGCUGCAUGUGGUGGCCAUGCCUGCCAUUCCAAAAACGUGGGAGGCUGAGACAGGAUGAUGGCCUAAGACUCAAUUCAAGGCCAGCCUCCACAACUUCCUGAAACCCCAUCUUAAAAAUAAAAAAAAAAAAAAUACUGGGGACAUAAAUCAUUUGUAAAGUGCCCAAGUGCCCUAGGGUUCAAUUCUCAAUCCCCCCCCCCCACUAAAAGAAAAAAAGAAAAAAAUAUAUAUAAACUCCACUUUCAGCAAAGUUCUUCUGUUUUGAAUGUAUAAGGUAUUCUCAAAACUCAACAUAGAACAAAAACAAACAAUCCUAAAAGAAAAAGGCAAGAAUCAAGGGCAUUAUGCUCAAAGAGAAUACAGUCACAGGGAAUGUGUUCAAUGUACUUUGCCAUAAGGAUUCCUGAACUAAGAUGAGUGGGACAAUGGUCAAGGCAUGAGAUUGGUACAUCCAUGGACCAGGAUACCACUUAACAAAGAGAAAAUACACUGCUGACACACAACAGCUUGGACAAGUCACCAGAGUCUCAUGCUGAAACUCUCUGAAAGGAAACAUACCACCUGAGUCCACUGAAGCAACACUGGUCAGAUGACCAGGUCACAGACACAGAAGACAACUUCAAGGCUGUCAGGGGUGAAGGAUGUGCCAGGACUGGGAGGGACAGAGGUGAAAAGAAAGGGAGACAGGCCAGCUGCUCAACACCAGAGCCCUUCUACACCCUGACUGUGGGGCUUUCAGCACCUGUUGAGGCCACUACACGGGGUUUCAAGAUGAGUCCACCCAGGAAGGCUGGGUAAAGUGCAAGGGGUCUCCCCACUAAUUCUGUCUCAGUGUGCAUCUGAAAUUACCUCGCUAUAAAACAAUUAGCCCUUUUAAAGAGCUUAGGCUUCAGGAUAAAACUAGAAGGCCCUGCUCACAGGAUGAAAAAUACUGAAAUAACAAAGUUGAAUGGUCCAAGCACAGGACCAACAGCAGCUGUGAUCCACUGGAGGUGACCACAAGGGCAUGGGCAAGAGGGCUGAACCCUGCUCCCUGCUGAAACUUCAGCCUGAUCUUCCGUGGUAACUAUGGCAUCCUGCCCUGGAAAUCCACACUUCACCUCCAUAACCCUCAAUGUGAACUUUGAAAGUGGCUGCAUUUCCAGGGAGACUGGCUGGGACGAGUCUAUAGAGAAGGCGCCUGGCCCCACCUACUGUCCGCCCAUUCCCCAGCACCCUUGUACCCGCCUGUACUCACACAGAGUCGCAGCUUCUUCUCUGGGGGCGAUUUCCUCAGCCAGCCAGAGUGCACUAAUUGGCUGCUAUCCAUGCUGCCCGCGGUGAUAGACCUGAGCGCAGAGUCAGUUGCACAGGCUGGGAGAGGAGACCUGGGCAUGCUUGUAUGCUCACUAGCCACGGAAGUCCUCAGCACCACGACCCCCUGGCCAGCUGCCUUAUGCAGGUCUGGAGACCUUCAGGCCUGCCACGGAAAUAACCCCUUCCCUCUGAGAAGGAGGGGGUGAUGCUGAAGGCCCCCUGAGCCUCGAGGGGUGGGGUGAAGUGUCUCUGCAUUUUCGAAACCAUCUGAAUGUUAACAUAGAGUACCCGGUACAACAUAAACACUAUGUAACAGUUUAGAAAUCUGCAUGGUUUGGCUGGGGCUGAGGUGUGUGGUGAAGUCAGGUGCACCCAAUUCAUCUUUCCCUAGAGGUUGGUCUUCUGCAUACCCGUGGACAUUUUUGCAACAUUUUUGCCAUCAAGACUGGCAGUUAGUUGGGGAUAGGUCACAUUAAUUCAGAAGCUCCUCUGGGUCUAAUUUCCUUAAACAAAAGUCCUGGAUUGUUGGUUACAAUUCCAUGUGGAAACAGAGAGUCUUGGAGGGAUAGUGUGGCUCCAUGUCUUCUGUGUACAUAUCAUCCUUCUCUUGCUCUCCUACCCCCAAAGCUACUGUGAAAUGAACCUUCAUUUGCAAUCUAUUUUAGUAUUUAGAGGAUUGAAAUGAAACUAAGAGUAUUGUUUUUUAACAGAGUCCCAUCCAAUCACAGUAGGGAGGUCUGAACUGACCAAAUGAGACAAACACCAUUUGCAACCUGAAAAGCUGACUUUGUAACCAGUUGAGUUGUUUUUGUACCUCACAUCUCUUUUCUGUUUGUAAAUGCCCCCUGAUCCUGUGGCCCUAUUCUUCUACUUUUGUGCUGCUGGAUUGUGAAUUGUUCUUUUAAAAAAAGGUUUAUUCAAUAAAUUGCUUUGCUUCACUUGGUGAAGUUUCUUCAUUUAAAAAUGACUUUGGGAUGUUUAUUAUUUUAUUUUUUGCCAAACUUUCCCAUCUCUCCCCCCUUCUUUCUGCAGCUUUUGGUAACUUCUAGUCUACUCUCAACUUCUGUUAUUCUUCCUUCUUAGAUAUUUUUAGAAUUUUAUUCAUCUAAAUGAAUUUUAUACUUUUUACACAAAGUGCUCAAUUUUUAAAGAAAUCAUGUUGGGAUUUUAAAAGAACAUGUAUGAAGCUGUAUAAAUUAAUAUGGAAAAAUACAUUGUAACAAAAUUAUAUAUUCCUUAUUACUCAGGCAUAAAGAAGAAUGAAAUUAUGGCAUUUGCUGGAAUGGAUGUGUUAUGGAGAGGCACUCCAGGAAACACUGUAAGUUUGAAUUUGAAAUCAAAAGAGAGUUUUAUUUACCUUGCCAGGGACUGUCACCCACCAUAGAGACUCAACCUCUGUAGGAGGACAGCAGCUUUCUGGUCCAUCCAAGAAGAAUAUAAGCAUAAAACCUACAACUUAGUGACUUGCUAAUAAUCAUGUAAGCUAGACAAUCAGAGAAAUUAAAACAUUAACAUGUGGGACCUGUGGGCUUUAGGCAGGACUGGAAAUUUCCAGUCAGCAAGCAAGUGAUAAACAUAAGCACUAAUAAGUAGCUGAAUUAGAAAUAAACAUAUAGAAAUAAAUGUUUUUAUAUGUAUUAAUCAUAACCAGUUAGGAAAAAACAUAUAGGUAAAAACAUUGCCUUCAUAAUAGCUACAGCAAAUUUAUAAUACAUUAAAAAUUUUUAUUGAUCUGGAAGAAAAUUAUAAAUCUUUUUACUGAGAUGCUUAAUAGUCCACAAGUCCUCAUAGGAGGAAGGACACAGGUCUGGAGAGGAAUGCCAUAAAUAUUUGGUUUUUGCUUAGUUGAGACAGAAUCUAUGUUGUCCAGGCUGGCCUUGAACUCCUGGGCUCAACUGAUCCUUUUACCUCAGCCUCCCAAGCAGCUGGAACAACAGGCAUGCAACACCAUGCCUGGUUAAUAAACCUUUCAUGGCCAUGAUUCUGUUGUAUAUUUUCUUUAUAGAUAACUUCUUACUUUUUAUAAGUUAAAAUAUACUAGAAAGGGCAAGCAGCAUAGGCCCUCUCUUCAUUCCCUGACCCCAAAUUAAGCCUCUGGAGAUGGGGCUGCCCAGGGGACUCUGCUGCACAGCUAGAUCUGGCAGUGACUCAGAAGCCACUUUUUGCAGAACAGAGACCUCUGAAUUUCUUAGUAUUCCUGCCAAGGAAUAGAUUUCAAAUAAACACUUAAUUUAAGACUUUUUAAUGAUUCAAACUAUUGAAGAAGCUGUACUUACACAAUUUCACAUUGUCUUCACAGAAUAAUUUUGUGCAAUACUGUCUGAAUUAUUUUUCUCUAUAGGGAAGCUGCAUAAAAUAUUCUACAUCAACCCGGAUUCUUAAACGUGAAACAGAGAUAGUUCCAUUACAAAUAAAAAUUGUGCAUAAUAUAGUCAUUUAAAAUAUACAUAUAUAAUUAUUAUGCUUAAUGUAAAACAAAACACAUACAAAAAUUGUUUCUAAUGGCACUACCACAGGCAAGGGAAAAGCUCUUUCUUGAAGAAUGACAAAAAAAAUCUUUAUUUUUAUGUAAAAACACAAAUAUACAUAUAGUACAUAAAUUGAUGAUGAGCAUAUGUUGGUAUGAAAAUUUCAACAAAGAAGCCCAAAAAUUUAAGAAAAAAAAGUGUUUCAAUGAGGAUUUGGUGGUUGAGACAUAAUGAACAAAUCUGUGAAGAAAUUCUAUUUAUGAUCUUUAAAUAUCAACAUUGGUAUAAGACCAGAAUUACAUGAAAGUUUCUAUAAACAGAUGGAUUUUGCAAUAGUUAGUAUUUGCCAAUUUUGCACGAAGAAAUAAAAUACUGAGAUUGGAUAAUAAGUUCAAUAUCAGGCUGGGGGUGGGUAUGCAGCUCAGUGAUAGAGUACAUGCAUGGGCUGAGGAUAGCAUGUAUGGGUUCCAUACUACAAAACGAAACCAGUACCAAAAAAGUACAAUGUUUUACUUCAGAUUAAGGCAAAUGACAGCCCACUUUACCAGAUUAUUUCAAUGUGAACUAGUCUCUUCCCUGGAUCCUCAUCAUGCCUGAAUGUACAUCAUCUUUUGUCUCAUAAAGUUUAGGAAAAGGUGAUUGCCCAAUUUCAUCAUAUUAUUCUCCUGCCUCAAUAAACCUAGAUCAAAACACCAAAUACAAAAAGAAAGUCCCCAAGAGCUCAAAACAAGUUAUUUUAAUAACAAUUGUGGUUAUUAUAAACAUGCAAAAUUACAAGCUGGAGAAGGAUCUACUUUUUCCUUAAGUACCUAUAAAUCCCCAAUAUCUGGAAAUUCCUGCUGUGACAUUGUUCUUUCUAUUGAGGAGACCCCUCCUAUUGCAACUGAAGUUUACUUGGUAUUGCUCCUCCUUCAAUAGAAGAGUACUCAUAGUUGUUUAUUAAACUGACAAUCUCUUACUCUGAGAAGGAAACUAGAAACAUUAUCACAAAACGCUGAGACUGACUUGUUGCUCAUGUUUUCUAGUAAAUGUGACAUGUGGCCCCAGAGUCAGUGAAGACUAUCCAGUCACCACCCAGUUAUCAGCUCAUUAUGAUCUCUCUCUCCACCUUAAGCCACUUUGAUAAGCAGGAGAAUAAAGAACACACACUUGAGCACACAAUCUGAUCUCUGCAACCUGAGGCCAGACCAGCAACCUACCCUUCUGGGGAGACAAGUGUUCCUCUCUACUUCCUGUUACUGUCUUUCUUGCAGCCACCCUUCCCUAAUGGACUUGCUCCAUCACAGGAGCAAACUGAGGGAAUGCAACAGAGAACAGCUGGUGAAGGCUCCAGGAGAUGCAAAGCAAAGUGCCCAAACCCAUAUGCCCUUUCCAGGAAGGAAGGUGGAGAAGAGAGAGGUUGCCCUGCACCACCACUUUGGCUCCUGGGAAUAUACCACACAAACCUACAAAAGAAAAGGAAGAUUUGGUUUUCAUGUUUGAUGUCAAGAAUCUCUAGUCACAUAAUUGGACCAAAAGUUCCCUCUGGAAACCAUCUCAGCCUACAUUUUACCUUACAGAAGAGGAGAGAUGUUACCAUCUGGACCUGCUAAGCUAAACACAGUCUCCCAGUUACAGAAUUUCAGGAGGAAUACAGGUCUCCCAGAUUCUAUUCCACUGUUUUUCUUACUACAGUAGUCCCCUCAUCCACAGUUUCAGUGCUCACUGGUUAAAUAAAACUUGAACAUAUUAAUAGGAAAUUCCAGAAAUAAACAAUUCACAAGUUUUACGUUAUGCUCCAUUCUGAGUAUUUUGAUGAAAUCUCACCGUUUCCUUCCAUCUCAUUCCAUCAAUCCCAGAACAUGAAGUAUUCCUUUGUAGAGUAUACCCAUGCUGCAUGUACCACCUACCCAUUAGUCACUCAGUAACCAUAUCCAUUGCAGAAUUGUUAUUGCAGGUGCUUAUGUUCAAGUAACUAUUAAUGGCCCCAAAGUGCAAACUAUUAAAGUGUAUUAUUAUUAUUAUUUUAAAUAUUAUAAUUAAUCUUUUACUGUGACUAAUCUAUAAAUUAAAGUAUCAUAAAUAUUAAUGUACAUGGAAAAACCCAGCCUAUAUUCAGAGGUUUUCACUUGCGGUUUUAGAACAUAUCACCCACAGGUUAGGGGGAGUACUAUAAAAUCAUUGUGACUCCUUAACUAAGGAAAAUUUUUAGAAAGUAAAAAUUUAAAAAUGCAUUGCUUUAACUUCUGAAAUCAGAAAGCUUACAAAUGAUUGUCAGUCAUGUCAUGUGUGAGACUGAUAUAAAACUGCAACCACCCGGUUAUCCUCUCCAUUCACUUGCACGGCUUUUUCCACCCUCUAAGUUUGUUUACUUCCUGUCACAAAUGGAUUUUGGCUCUAUGAAGAUGUGUAUUUUUAUUUGUUUUGCUUACUGCCAUAUUUCAAGGACCCAUCACAGUGCCUGGCACAUAAUAAGUCUUCAAAAACUACUUAUUGGGUGGCUGAAUGAAUAAAUACUUGCAGCUUCUCUUAAGGGGAACCAUUUCCACUUAAGUGACAUUCCUUGACAUCCUGACUGAAACACAGGAUCAUCAUACUCAACAGAUAAUCCAAAGCCUAACAAAUCAUGUGUGUGUGUGUGUGUGUGUGUGUGUGUAUGUAUGUAUGUAUGUUUAUUUUUCUCAUCCCUCUUUGUCCCUCACUGGAACCUACUAGUUUGGCCAUGCUGGUUGUGGCCUUACACAGUGGACGAUGGGCACUGAUAUUGCAAGAAGUUAAAGAGAGGCAGGCCAUAAUAUGGUGUAAGCAAAAUACAGAAGCAUGCAUUGGGCCUAAGUCUAAAGCAACCAAAAGGGAGGUGUCAGCACUAGACUGAGAACUCCAAGCCCUCUGCUGAAGUGUCUACACUGGCUGAGGAUUUAAAAUAAUUUUCUCAUUCCAAUACCCAAGACUAUGACUCUAAUGCCUGGAUUUGGAUGUUGUGCCAUUUCCAAUUUCCCCACAUUGAUCUUACACAACCAGUCUUUGUAUGGCUAUCUUCUACCUUGUGCUGAAAAUCCUAAUGCCAGUGAUAAUUAUAAACAACUGGUAUUACCCAUAAAGCCUUCAUCAGCUUAGGUGACAAAGUAUUCUACAUUGUGAGUAGUGUUCCAAGACAAAGUGAAUAAAGCACAUAUAGAAUAUAACUGCCCCUCUUCCAGUAUGCAUGGCUUUAUUUCUGUAUCUAGACACAUGCUGUUAUAAAAAUCUUUCACUGCAGUAUUUCAUUAUGGAUAGUCCAAUUCACUUCCUUUAAUAAUAAUCCAGAAGCAACCUGGAUAUACAAUCUGUAAAAUUUUUAAAAGACAAAUAAACAAUGCAUAAUUUAAAAGUAGAACCAUAAAAUUAUAAACCUUACAAUCAUGAUAACUACUUUUAAUAUAAGUGAGCAAACAAAUUCUUAACAAGUAAUUUUGUCUUAAAUUGUUAGACCAAAGGUAAAUACCAAAUUGUAUAAGUAGCAAUAAGUAAGUCAUUUUCAAUGAUGUGCAGAGAUGCCUUUUAUCUCCAUAUUUUGAAAAUAUCCAUAAUUAUAUUUACAAGCAGGGGUCACAGCUAUAUUUUAACAUUUUUUUUAAAAAAGGAAAAGUAAGUAGGAAUACAUGUAUAUUAUACUCAUAUUAAAAAAGAAGUAAUGAUAAAAAACAUAAACUAUUACCUAUAAUGGAACAGAGAAUAAAUUUAAAGAAACAGAAGCAAAGUCAAACCUGUUGGAAUAUAUCAUGUUACAUGUUAUUGUUAUUAGAAAUACAGAUUUCACUGUUAGAGACAAAAUAAAAAUAUAAAAAAAUUAAAUUUGAAUUGACAGUCUAAGAAUUCAUGACUUUUCAAAUGUAUUUCCUUGUUCUGCCUAAUGAAAGGGCUUAGAAGCAAUAUUGUCCUAAAUUUUGAGAUCCUAAAUGCCAAGAAGCAGGAACACAGGUAUUUGUAGUCAUAUUAUGCCUACUUUUCCAAUUAUUUAAACAUUGUAUAUUAAAAAAUGUAAAAAAGAAUAUUGGUGGGCUGGGGAUGUGGCUCAAGUGGUAGUGCACUCCCCUGGCAUGCACAGGGUGCUGGGUUCAAUCCUCAGCACCACAUAAAAAUAAAAUAAAGAUGUUAUGUCCACUGAAAUCUCAAAAUAAAUAUUAAAAAUUCUCUCUCUCUCUCUCUCUCUCUCUCUCUCUCUCUCUCAAAAAAAAAAAAAAGAACAUUGGUCAUUCUAAUUCUAGUAAUGAUAUCUGCAGGUAACAAUUGUAAACCCUGGGGCAUGGGUAAUGAUCUGAAGUCACUGAAGUGGUGCUCAAAGCAGACAGGUCCUAAAAGACGUUUGGUUCCUCAAAGAGAGAAACCUCAAGAAAAUCCAGGUUUUCAUAGCUUUUCCCAGAGGACCUCCCACGGCUCUGACUCCUUUUCUUAAUGUUGGAGUGGUGGAAAGGCUCUUCUUUUUUCUCUUUAUCCCCAUCUCCUGCUGGCUCACAAUUGCCUCAGAGUCUAUGUAUAAGCUUUUCCUUUACUAGGAUAUUAGUUUCUGUCAACCCACCUCCAAAGUGUAAUGAACAUAUAGCCCUAUGUGAUUCCCAAUCUUAAAUAGGAUCUUCUGAGUGAGACAUUUCCUGACUUCCCAAACUUUAUCUGGUUCUGUUAAGAUAAAGAAAGCUUAUUACAGAAAUAAGGAAAACUAUUGUAACACACGCUUCCAAUACUACUGUUUACUUCCUCCUAUUUUCUGGUGAUAAAGGGAUACACCAAUUAAUUUUAGGAGGGGAAUAUCUACCAAAAUGUUCAAUAAAAAUGUUUAAUUAAAUUUAGUUACAUUAAGAUAAGGUGGUUUCGUUAUCCUAUGAUUUGAAUUUUCCCACCUACUUUUGAGAAAAUGGAAUAGACUUUCUACUAUACAAGAGUAUAGAAUAUAUGGAUUGCAUUUGCCUUGAAAUGUGGUUACUGCUUGCUACAUUGAAGUGUGAUGCUUAACAUUAUGUGUCAACUUGGCUUGAAUAUGUCUCAAAAUUUUGAUGAAAUUCCCUUACAGAGGUUGCUAUGAAGAUUUCUUUAGAUGUGGCUGAUAUUUAAAUAGAUUUUCAGUAAGACAAAAUACCUGUCAUAAUUUGAUCCAAUCAUCUGAAGGCUUUAUGAGAAAAGACUGAGUUCUUCUAAAGAAGCAUGAUUCUGCUGCCAGACUUCCUUUAGACUGAAACUACAUCAUCAUCUCUUUUCUAGCCCACAGGAGUGCUCUGCAGAUUUUAGAAUUAUCAAUCUCAGCAAAUGCCUAAAACUAAAGCUGUAUCCCCUCUCCUCCCGCUACCACUCUCCUCCUCCUCCUCCUCCUCCUCCUCCUCCUCCUCCUCCUCCUUCUUCUUCUUCUUUUCUCUCUCUCUCUCUCUCUCUCUCUCUCUCUCUCUCUCUCUCUCUCACACACACACACACACACACAUGCAAACAAUCAAUUGAAUCUGUUUUUCUAAUGAACCUUGACUAAUAUAGAGAGAAUAGAGGGAAGUAAGAAAACUAAUUUCACAAUGAAUCACUCUUUCUAUUAGUUAUUUUAAUUCCCCAAGAAACCCUAGAAAGUAAGUUUAAUUAUUAUUGUAAUUUAAGAGGAGAAAAAAUGAGUCCCAGAGAAGAUAAGAGGUACUUUCCUGUGUAAUGGGAAGCUAUGCGAAGAACCUAGCAUGACAGUCUUCAUGCCUUCUGCCAUUCUUAGAUUACCUGUCUGUGAGAGGCACUGGCUAGGGAAACUUGUAUUAGCCAGAGACAGCACUGCACUAUGCUCCAAAAAUAAGAGAGACUCUUUGGAUUAGAGAAGGGCAAAAAUAAACUUCAGAGUUAUUGUUGGUAAGCUGUGAUUGUUGCUGUGGUUUUAUUAAGCAAUAAUUUUUUCUGACAUUGUGCUGGUUUUCAGAGAUUAUGAGAUAGUCCCCCAUUUUAAAAAUAAAACACAAAAAUAUAUUUCUUCAUUCCAUUAGUGAGCUGAGAAUGGUUUCUAUUUUCUUUCAAGGUUUUUGCCCAGUUUUCUUGAUGCAGCCCCCACAUUUGUAAGUUUCACUGAGGCUAGACUAGGACAAACCUUUGUCCUCCAAAUGGAGCAUGUGUUUCUAUUUCAAAGUCUGUGGCCCACGUGUACCUUGGGUAAGAACAAUGAAUGGAAGAGUUGCCAAAAUUAUAGUAUCCUAGGGGAAAAGCAAUGUAGACUAAUUGUACUCUCUAAAUAAUAAAAUAAGGUAUAGGCUUCUUUGCUCAAAGCCAAAAUUAUUUCUAUAUAUCUCUAGUAUUUACAGUUCCCAAGAAAGCAUCCCAAAUUUAUUCUUAGGACUAUCGAAUAUGAUGGCCUUAAGGCACCACACUAGAGGUAGAAAUGAGUUUGAGUGAUGACAUCUUAUUAAAUAGAGAGAAAGAGUUUUCUGAUGUUAAUAUAAAUGUAUACUUUGAUUGAUUUUUUUGGAGACCCCUCAAAAUAUUUUAGAUGAAAACAUGUGUCAGUUAAAAUAUGAUAAUAAAAUCAAGUCUUUUGUAUAUAUUUAUGUCACUAUAUUUUUAUUUUGGAACUGGUUUUAAGACUGAACUUAAAUUUUAUAGCAAUGAAUUAUCAAUUUAUUAUUUCUGCUUUUUUUUUCUCUUUUGUAUUGAUCACCAGCAAAACACAAGCUUGCAAGAGAAAAUGUCAAUAUUUCAGACUAAGCAGAAUGGAGGCUACCCCCUAACUUUUCUGACCUUAAAUUCAGAAGAAAUAUAUUUGAUAGGAGAUAUAGAAAUCAAAAGCAAAAAAAGAAAAAGAAAAUUAGCUCAACUGGGCUUAAAAUCUGAGAGUAGUAUUUAGAGCUAAGAAAUAAAUUUGAGUGAAAUGCAUCUUAGAAUAAAAGCAAAACCAAAAUUCCAGUGAAGAAACCAAACCACAUAUGUAAGAUGGAAAGAGUAAGACAAUUCAUUGGAAAAGCUAAAAUUCUAAUAGAAAUGAGAUUAGAAAGAAAAAGAAGUUGCAAAAUGGAUGAAAAUGAAAAGAGAGAUCUAAAUGUUUUGAGUUUCAUUUAGCAGGGCAGAGGCUCCUCCAUUGCCUUCAGGUUGGAUGAGUCCCCAGGCCUUUCUAACGAAAGAGCAGUACGUGACCAAGUCGCAUAUUGUGAUUUCCUCAUUUCUCUCUAAUGAUGACGCUUUCAAAAAGUUCCUCCUUAGUUCUGUUAUUUGGAACUUUUUCCCAGUCACCAACACUCAAAAUAAUUAUUAAUUGGAGAAACUGAUUUUUUUAUGAAAACAUAUGCUGCUCUUUGAUGAUUUUCUCUAUUCAUGUUAGUUUUAAUGUUUUUACAACUUAUUGCUGUCUUUCCCCUUACUAAACAUGACUAUUUUGUUUUAAUUAAUUUUAGCAUUUACAUGAAAGAAUACUUUGUAUAGAUUUAUUUAUUCAGUGUUUUGACCUUAAUAACACUCUCUGGGAAUAAAGUUAUUUUCCAUUAUUUUGUUAUUGUUGUUGUUUUUCCAAAUGAAAUUAUGCUCUUUUUAUGCAUGGUAUUAUAUUUGAAGAAUGCUAAUGCAAUAAUGAAGCCAUAAUCAAGCUAAUUCAUAGCCAAAAAUGUUGUUUAAGCACCCACCAAUACUGUGACUCUCUUUUAAGCUACAUUUUUAUGCACUACCUUUUUUUGCUGUUAGUUCUAGGGUCUUGAAUUUCCAACUAGACUAUAAAAUCCUCCAUGAUAGGGACAGUAUUUUAAUGCUUUUAUGACCUCCAUUGAUAUUGGUAUAGUGCUCAGUAAAAUGUGCAUUUGAAUAAGUGUGUGUUGAAUUGAUACAGUUCUUAAACAUGCAUAUAAUUGAGUCAUGUGACAUCUCUGAGUUGCCAAGUUUUUGAGUUAAAUGGUACUUAAAUUAAAGUAGCUAGCUUCCUUAAAAAUUAUAAGAUUCUUCUAAAAUCUCAUCAUUCCUAAUUCAAUUUGUUAAAAAAGAUGCAUAUUUCAAGAGCCAACAAUUUUAGAAUAUUACUUAUUCAAUUGCAUUUUUGCUAUUUGACUUUAGAAAUCUUAAAUAAAUCUUAUUUAGUAUACAUCUUUUCUUUUUGGCAAAGAAUAUACUUAAAGUGUUAGAACUACAUAUGUUCAUUUUUGGCAAUAAUUCUUACUAUAUUGGCAAGGUUCAGUUGUUUCUUUUAAGAUAUUUGUAUUUCUUAAAAGCUUCACAACAAAAAAUAACAAUAUGUGAAUUAUGUGAAACUGAAGUUCAUUCUGUAUGUUGUGUAUAGAUUUAUCUUCUCAUAUACUAAAAUAUUUGGUGUCCUCAGUACAUUUGUACUGGCUCUGGUACAAUUUAAACCUUUGGUAGCUCUCAGUUUUCCUAAACAUUUUUUUAAAGUUUUUUGUUGUUGUUGUUGUUCUAUCUCAGAAUUAUUUUUGUGUGUGAGAAAGUUCUUGACUUAGAAUUAAAAAAAUGUGUAAGAAUUAUAAAAACUUUCAGAUCCAUGUUGUUUUAGAGAUUUAUUGGUUAAAAAAUUAACUUUUUAGUACUCAAAGCUACUCUUUUUUUAUAUAUACUUUUUAGGUGUACAUUGACAGAACACAAUGCCUUUAUUUUUAUGUGGUGCUGAGGAUCAAACCCAGGUUCCACCCAUGCUAGGCGAGAAAAUCACAGCCCUCGGAGCUAAUUUUUAUGUGAAGUUGCCUGUGUGCUUCUCUCUUUCUCUCCUUCCCUCACUGAAUCUUGAUUUCUAUGUUAUCUAUUUGUCAAAGCCAUCAGACUUCCAUAUGUUUAAUAAAAAUAGUGUAAAUGAAACAUUAGUUUUUUUAUAAUUAGUUGAUACCUUAAUAAUUUUAAAGAAUUUUUUAUCAAUUUCUUUUGGUAUUUAUGCUUGUAAGAAAAAAUUAACAUUGACAUUUGUACAAAUACUAUUAACAUUCUGAAAAUGGUGAAUCCACAUAAUGAAUAAUUAAACAAUUUAGGGUAGUUUUUCAGGGCUAUUCUGUAAAUUUUCAUCCAGGAGAUGAGGCCUGAACAUAUUUUGAAGCAACUGUGUUCAGGGAAGUGAAAAUAUAAUAUACUGGAUUUAUGUGUAGAGGGUAAAGAGAUCAAGAAAGUUCAGAUCUGUCAUUAUUUAGAGUUAGACUUUAUCCUUUAGUUGGUAUAGAAUUGUAAAAAAAAAUGUUUAAAAGAUAAAAAAAAUUGAAAAUUGAACAAGACAGUAUGUUAAACUGAAAAUUAAACAGGACAGUAUGUGAUAUGUAUUGGAAGGUAAUAAGAAAGAUAAUUCUUUUUGUUCUUUUUAGACAAUUUCUAGGGUGGCUCAUGGGCCCCAGGAGGAGAGAUCAGAGUAAGGUGGAAUUAUAUCAUUUAUUAAAAAGAAAUAAGAACUCAAUAGAGAAGGAAGGAUUUUAAAUGUACCUAAUAAAAUACCUUCCUUAGCCUUUUUUUUUUACAACAGAUAAGUAAUGUGCAGAGGUAGUGACAAGGUGUAGAGCAAGGCAUAUCUCCCACACCAGCCACAUGAACACUCAAUAAUCAUCACACUUAUGAACCAAAAGUAUCUUUAUUCUAUUUUUAUAAGUUACAAUAAAGAUUGUUGUCAUGAUGAAAUAAAUGAUUAAAAUUUAAUUCAUUUUUAUAUAGGUCAUAAAAUCCAUGCAAUCAAUUAUAUCUUGGUUAGUAUAACAGAUUGAAUCAUAUCAUACUGUUGGCAUAGGCCUAUAUUUUUAUUAUUCUUUUCCUUAUGACCUACUUUAUCAGGAAGGGCCUUUGGACUUUCAGGAGUAGUUUCUUAAGCUUAUUUAUUAAAUUUAACAAGCUUUUCAUAAACUUCCUUAACUGAUUUUUUCUUAGGGAGUUUGGCUAUAAUCCUUAACUGUGUAUGAGAAUUGGCUGAAUUAUUGCAAUUGUUGCAAGCUGACCUAUUUUCCAGGAUUGCUAUGUUUACCUAGAAAGUAAUGUUAAUUCCCCUAGACUCAAUGGUCACAUGAGAGGUGAGUAAUAUUCCAAUAAAAAUAAAGCCAAACAAAAACCAUUCAAUUCCCAGAAACAUGCUGCACUCCCCUGGAGGUGGGUUCCCUAGCACCAUCCACCUCAGGAAGACCUUGCCGUUUCCUGGGUCAGGGGAGGGGUGAAGCAAUUAACCAGUCUUCUAAAAGUUUUACCUAAGAGUACCAACUUAUUUGUAAGAUAAAGAAAAGUCAGAUUAAACUAAUGUCCCCUAGUAAGUCAGAUCUCUAAAAGUAAGAAAUUUUACUUUCUUCAAUUCCAAGAUGAAGAAAGUACCCUACAUGUGAGUGUACUCAAAUAAAACAAUGAAUAAUAAAUGACAUAGGGUGAGAGUGGUUUAUCCAUAUAACUACCAUAAAACACUCAAACAACAAGUGCAAUAACCAUGUUACUCUCAUCUUUGUGCAGGAAUCCCAAUAAUACCAGCAAGAACUGCUGCUGCUACAAGGUCCUCUUACACAGGUGAUAGAAAUGUCUUCGCACAUCAACCCUGUGGAUCCACUCUUAUCCAACUGUUAUUUCCAAAGGGAAUGGGGACAUGUCCCAAAUAAUAGCACUCAAACAACACAGAGCUACUCAGGUUACACUUAUGUUUGACUAUGGGACACAGACACUUGAGAACGUGUACAGAAGAAAUCAACAUAAUCUAACAUAACAUAAAGAAGGCAUGGCUGAAGGAAGGAAGAGAGCACAAAGGAGAGAAGAUCAUGAUACUACUACUGAAGUAGUUCCUACACUGGGGCACUGUGCUGUGUGCAUGAAGAAUCCUGCUCAACAAACAGGGGACCCCAAGCUAUAUUGUACAGUAUCUGUUACAGUUUCAAUAUUAGAUGUCCCUCAAUAGCUCAUGUGUGAGACAAUGCAAAAAGGUUUAGAGGUGAUAUAUUAUUGAUUUAUAAGAGCCUGCAUCCAAUCAGUGAAUUAAUCCCUUGAUAGAGAUUAAUGGUUUGGUAACUGUAGGCAGGGAGGGUAUGGCUGCAGGAGGUGGGUCUCUGGGGAUGUGACUUUGGGAUAUAUGUUUUUUGAGCUGGGCUUAGUUCUCUGCUUCCUAGCCUCUGACCAAUUCUCCCACCAAUGUUUCACCUCACAUAAAUUCCCAAGGAAUGAAGCCUUGUGGAAAUGCACAGAUAUCUGUGAAACUGUGAGCUCCAAAUAAACU